CAAAGAUUAAGCCAUGCAAGUCUAAGUACACACGGCCGGUACAGUGAAACUGCGAAUGGCUCAUUAAAUCAGUUAUGGUUCCUUUGAUCGCUCUACCGUUACUUGGAUAACUGUGGCAAUUCUAGAGCUAAUACAUGCAAACGAGCGCUGACCUCCGGGGAUGCGUGCAUUUAUCAGACCCAAAACCCAUGCGGGGUUGCCCCUCGGGGCUCCCCGCCCGCUUUGGUGACUCUAGAUAACCUCGAGCCGAUCGCUGGCCCUCGUGGCGGCGACGUCUCAUUCGAAUGUCUGCCCUAUCAAC
This 301-nucleotide ribosomal RNA is filed under the name Tridentiger bifasciatus (Shimofuri goby). RNAcentral describes it as "SSU rRNA". It matches the Rfam family "Eukaryotic small subunit ribosomal RNA", at positions 38 to 319 of the family's 1831-position model. The record is from RNAcentral. Lineage: Eukaryota; Metazoa; Chordata; Actinopteri; Gobiiformes; Gobiidae.